UUUACCAGGACACAUUGGUUUCUUUUUUCAAAUAACAAAUGCAGUAUUAAUAAGAAUACUCACUUGAUAUAUUAGUAUUAAUUCGUUUUUACUCAGUCAAAAGUCACCUUUGCAAUUUUUAAAGCAAUCAUGAAAUAAAUCUCUUUGUAAUAUACUUGGUUAGAAACCAAUAUUUGUUUAGUUUAGUUGAGCUGUCCACAGAAAACCUCACACUAAAUGAAGAUUAAUAUGUUAAACUGUUUUCAUCAUCCUGUGGGUUGUUUUUCAAACUUUACAAAGAAGAGCUAUUUAAGUUUUACUUUUUAAUGUAUUUCUCCAAUCCUCAUUCUGCUCACCUGUUUUCUUACCUCUUUUACUUAUUAAAAUAGAUAGCAGACAGUAGAAUGGAUGAAAUAAUAAGGAAAUUGCCAAUGGUAUACAUUCUGAUGAUGUACAUUUAGAGGUCAAGACGUUAAAGAAGUCACAUUUAGAUAUUAAUUAGUAUUUUUAUCAUGUUUUAAUAUACUUUGCACUUGGCUUUCUCUGAUAUGACUAAUAAAAUAGAUUUAUUUUAACGGCUAAGAAUUUCUAGUUAUAGAAACACAAGAAAUUUCCUAUUGCUUUGACGAUUUCAAAAAAAAAAUUAAACUUUACUAUUUAUAUGUAUGGUUGGAAUUCCCAUUCUGGUUCUGUUACAAUAUUUCAGAUUUCAAUUCAACACCUUUUCCAAGAUUUAUAAAUCUAGAUAGUUAUUUUCUACUGUACUCUGACCACUUUGGAUAACUAUGCUUAUAUGCCUUAUCUUUUGUAUAGCAUCUUCAUAGGUACAACUUCUUUUAAUUCACCACCCACAUUGUAUAUGUGGUAUACGUGUAUGUCUAUCAAUAUAUUAUCUUUCAAAGAUUACAUAUGAACAACACAAUUUUUUUCUUGUUUCUAGCUGCCUUGAUCACAGAAGACCUAGAGAUUCCAUUUGAAGUUCAUAGAUUUGUCUUAACAGGAGAGAGAUGGGGGAUGCUCAGGAAUGAAUCAAUCACUCUGCCACUCACUGCGCUGACAGCAUUCAUCCGCGUGAGCAAACUUCUGUGUGGGCAAUGCCAGUGAAAUUUAUUUCUCGGAGUGAGUUUACUGCUUACAUUCAAGAUGUCUCAUCUUUCUGGCAAUCAGGAUAAAUUGUGUCUCAGUAAUAAUAUUGUAGCAAGCUAUUCUUUACUUGAGGAGCCAGUAAUGACUGUGUUUUACAUUUGCAUUAAUUCUGACAAGAUUUACUAGUGCUUGCUGAUCUGUAAAUUUCAAAAUGGCAAACAGCAGCAAAGGUCAACACAGCAAUAAUAUUAAUAGCUUUAGGGAAAGGUUGAGAGACUCAGAGAUUCCAG
RNAcentral lists this long non-coding RNA (1355 nucleotides) under Vulpes vulpes (red fox). RNAcentral's name for it is "lncRNA (ENSVVUG00000000332.1)". The record is from RNAcentral. Lineage: Eukaryota; Metazoa; Chordata; Mammalia; Carnivora; Canidae.